RNAcentral lists this ribosomal RNA (465 nucleotides) under uncultured bacterium. RNAcentral's name for it is "partial 16S ribosomal RNA". It matches the Rfam family "Bacterial small subunit ribosomal RNA", at positions 28 to 507 of the family's 1533-position model. The record is from RNAcentral.
GACGAACGCUGGCGGCGUGCUUAACACAUGCAAGUCGAACGGAAAGGCCCUGCUUGCCGGGUACUCGAGUGGCGAACGGGUGAGUAACACGUGGGUGAUCUGCCCUGCACUUCGGGAUAAGCUUGGGAAACUGGGUCUAAUACCGGAUAGGAGCCAUCUUUAGUGUGGUGGUUGGAAAGUUUUUUCGGUGUAGGAUGAGCUCGCGGCCUAUCAGCUUGUUGGUGGGGUAAUGGCCUACCAAGGCGGCGACGGGUAGCCGGCCUGAGAGGGUGUACGGCCACAUUGGGACUGAGAUACGGCCCAGACUCCUACGGGAGGCAGCAGUGGGGAAUAUUGCACAAUGGGCGCAAGCCUGAUGCAGCGACGCCGCGUGGGGGAUGAAGGCCUUCGGGUUGGAAACUCCUUUCGCUAGGGACGAAGCUUUUUGUGACGGUACCUAGAUAAGAAGCACCGGCUAACUACGUG